GGGUAUGGUUUAACGGUAGAAUAGCGGUCUCCAAAACCGUUUGUGUGGGUUCGAUUCCUACUACCC
RNAcentral lists this transfer RNA (66 nucleotides) under bovine gut metagenome. It matches the Rfam family "tRNA". Rfam says of the family: Transfer RNA (tRNA) molecules are approximately 80 nucleotides in length. Their secondary structure includes four short double-helical elements and three loops (D, anti-codon, and T loops). The record is from RNAcentral.